This 1325-nucleotide long non-coding RNA is filed under the name Cavia porcellus (domestic guinea pig). RNAcentral describes it as "lncRNA (ENSCPOG00000035587.1)". The record is from RNAcentral. Lineage: Eukaryota; Metazoa; Chordata; Mammalia; Rodentia; Caviidae.
CAGGCUGGCUGCCACGCCGCCGCGGCUGACUCUUUCUCUCCCAUCCCCACCCUAAACAGCAGCUUCUUACCUCCAGGUCUGGGCAGGCUCCUCUGCAGAUUGCAAGUGCCACCUUUUCCCUCCUCUUCCUUUUCCCAGGACACCCAGCGCCCAGUCAGAGCGUCUCCUGGCACUCAGUGAGCCUGGCCAGGUAAGACUCCGCCUGCACGCUGGCUCCACUUCCGUUUGCCACUAGCCUGGCAUUCCUGGGUUUCCCUGUAGGACCUGCGCUGGCUUUUGGAAACUGUCUCCCACUGUUGCCAGAGCCUGCCUGGACUUUUCCCUGAGAGGAAAGCAUACACUGCUCCUGGAUGUGUGGGGGUCACCAGCUGUCUCCGCCUGAGUGCCACCCCGGGCUGUCAGGGGAGCGUGCUGGCUCCAUCUGCAAUCUGCCAACACCUCCUGUGAUUUUUCCCACCUCUUCUCUUCACCUGGACCCCACCUGAACCCCAGGUCCACACGCACCUGCUGCAAUCAAAGGCAGACUCAGCCUUCGGUUGGUGGAGGUGGGAAGCCAAGGUGGAGCACAGGGUGGGGACUCAAAAGCUCCAGCCUCCUGCAGGACACAAAGAGGGACCCGAGGAGGCAAAAGGUGGGGACAAAGGUGAGAGUUUCUUCUUGGGUGGGGAAGUAGCAGCUGCUCCAAGCAUCCAGGCCAGCUCUGCCCCCAUCGGACCCACAGGAAGAGCCUGCCUAGUCCCAGCUCUACCCUUCAGGCCAGCAGUUGAGUACUAGGGAUCGAACUCACGACCGCACACGUGCAAGGCAAGUGCUUACGCCACUGAGCUAAAUCCCCGGCUCCAUGGAUAAAGAAUUUAGUGUGGAAGAACUGGAAAGAUCAUAAUCAGAAGACUGAGUCUGAAGAGAAGCCAUGAAGCCAGAGAGAUAAGCAUAUAAGGAAACUACCAUUAAGUCGGGUUAUUUGGUGGUGAAGCACUAGGUUGCUGAAACAGUCAUGCUUUGACCUGUAUUCUUAUAUUGUUAUGUCCUGUUUUAUCUCAAUCUCUCCCUUAUUCUUUAAAAAAAUUAUUUAGUUAUUUCUUAUGUUUGUUUUAAUUAAGGGGAAAAAUUUUAAAAAUUAGGAUAUAUAAUAGUAACUCUUUUUGAUUUCCUAUUAACUUGUUUUGAAGUCCUGUAAUACUCCCACGAUCUUGUUUUGACUGAUUAGACUCUGUUCCAUUCUGUAUGAUAGUGUCAAGUUUGAGAGUAUAGGCAGCUACUUGAAGGCAAUAAGAUUCACUAAGAUGCCCAUUCUGGUUUGACUAUUGUCUCCUUUGGAAGUCCUG